GAUGAACGCUGGCGGCGUGCUUAACACAUGCAAGUCGAACGGUAAAGCUCAGCUUGCGGGGUGGGUUAGUGGCGAACAGGUGAGUAACACGUGAGUAUCCUGCCCUUUACUCUGGGGUAAGACUUGGGAAAUCUGUCGAUAAUCCGGUAUAGGCGCCUACCGCGUGGGGGGGGUUGGGGAGAUUUUUCGCGGUUGGGGAUGGACUCGCGGCAUAUCAGCUUGUUGGUGGGGUAGUGGCUCACCAAGGCCGCGACGGGUAGCCGGCCUGAGAGGGUGACCGGCCACACUGGGACUGAGACGCGGCCCAGACUCCUACGGGAGGCAGCAGUGGGGAAUAUUGCACAAUGGGCGAAAGCCUGAUGCAGCGACGCCGCGUGAGGGAUGACGGCCUUCGGGUUGUAAACCUCUUUCGGUAGGGAAGAAGCGAAAGUGACGGUACCUGCAGAAGAAGCACCGGCUAACUACGUG
RNAcentral lists this ribosomal RNA (468 nucleotides) under uncultured bacterium. RNAcentral describes it as "partial 16S ribosomal RNA". It matches the Rfam family "Bacterial small subunit ribosomal RNA", at positions 28 to 507 of the family's 1533-position model. The record is from RNAcentral.